AAAAGUAUAAGUUUGAAAUAUAUGCUAGCUCAAGUGAUCAUCCUCAAUAAGAAGAUAAAGACGGGGUAUACUUAUAUAAGAAGGCCGAGCCCACCGGCACUUAACACCAUCACAACAGCACAAGGUUAGAACCUGAAAAACAACAGGGAAUAAAACCCUGAGUAUGGAAUUACUCAGCAAGUCUUACCCGACUAAGGAAAAGACUCUCAAGGGUAUGCUGGAUAAAUAGGAAUCAAGGAGAGGCUUUAGCAAGAAUCAAUUUAGAUACUUUUGCAGAAAUAGCUUACUAAAGUGAGUCCUUACUUUCAAUCUUUUAACGCCAUAUUAAGUAUUAAUAGACUCUAUUUGCAUCUAGUCUAAUUUCAACAUCUCAUCAAUACAACAUCAUUUUUAUCCAUAGUGUUCACAUCCUGACUUUAGGUUGUAGAAAAGUGACCAAGUCUUCAUAACCGCGAAGGUACGGCGAUCCGAAUCGAUUAUACUCAGCUGAGGAUCUCCAAUCACACGACAUAUGUAGCACUUAACCCUUGCAUAUGUCAACCCGCCACCGGGGUUCUUAAGACCAGAUCAGGUUCACGCAAACCGAGAGCACAGAUACACCACCGUCCAGCCUCUUGCCACGGAGGGUACACGCUACUCUCGCCACCGCUCCACGCCCAUUUCGUGUUAUCUUAUUCUGGCCUUAGUCUGCCCGAGGCAAGGCUUACCCAUGACGAGGCAUGUGACCAGUUAAAGGGUCCUCGGUCAGCAUGCCUACAUACGCAUUAAUCCUUAACCAACCUGGGUAGAACAUCACCUGUUCCUAACCCAAGUCUCAAUUUAAGUAUUUCCAUCCUUAGGAUUGUGUCUGUUCCUUAGGAUGAAAGAGCAUCACAGGGAACUUUGCAGUAAGAUCCCACUAUUGCUCCAAAUGAAAAUAUUCUUGCAGGUAGAAGCCAUCCUCUCCCGGGUUAGACUGAGGACAACCUCUAUCCACAAGAUCUAAGCAAGGCUAAGCAUUUUUGUAAAUCAUAUUUUGAUACUUCACAGAAGUAUCUAUAAAGGCAUGGAUAUCAAGGAAAGCAAUGCAUCAAAGGGUUCCAAGCAACUCCUAUUAACCUAAUGCACAUUUCACUAGACUUAAGUGUGCGAAAAGUAUUUAAAACACAAGGAAAGGGGUUGCAUGCACCGGGGCUUGCCUGAGUAACACUAGGUUAGUGUUGGUUAGGUGACGUCCGCUUGAUGAGUAUUCUUCGACCGAGCACUUGCUUGAUUUAACCAUCUUCAGGUUGAUUCAUCAGCUUCAGCUUGAAGAUUAGCCCACGCUUGGGGUCGACUUGGUUUUUCUUCCGCAUCACACGAUUAUUUAUCGUCCUGAAUGAAAUGCAUUAUGCAUAUGAAUGCAUAUAAAGAACAAUAACACUAGAUAUUAUGAUGCUACGCAAAAGAGAAAUAACCUAUUUAAUGAUGAAACAUUACGUACACUAGUUAUCGAUAUAUUGUUACUUACGACAAUCAUGUUCUUACAACCUAGCUAAACAGUCGAGGUAGCAAUCAACAUCCAUUCCAAGCAUGAGAUCGACCAACACAUAAAUUAUCAGACCUAGUCUAGAGAACACACUAAACGACUUAUAACUUUUAACUUCACAAUUUUUGGACAUCUAAUACUUAUAAAAUUUGAUAGAAGAAUUUUUAUUAACUUUCUAAACUAAUUCACCGGUUAACCCGUAUAUUAUAUAUAUAUCUACCAAUAUACUUAUCGCAUAACCCUAAAAUUCAACUUAAUCUCUACAGCGAGUAAUAAACAAGAGAAUCAUCACAAUCAAUCCUUCUAUUUAAUCCUACCAUUUAUUUAGUUGACGGGAAUAAUAAAUUAACUUACCAUAAUUAACUCGAGCUGAAGUUGUGAGGUCAACGACGAUCCUAUGGACGAGGACUCGGAUUUGAAGGGCGAUGCGGCAAAAUUAUUGGAACGGCGGAGUCGAUGACGCGAUGAGAAUUAAG
RNAcentral lists this long non-coding RNA (1983 nucleotides) under Zea mays. RNAcentral's name for it is "long non-coding RNA (ZMAY_LNC001220)". Lineage: Eukaryota; Viridiplantae; Streptophyta; Magnoliopsida; Poales; Poaceae. The record is from RNAcentral.